Molecule: ribosomal RNA, 443 nt
Filed under: uncultured bacterium
Lineage: Bacteria
Description: partial 16S ribosomal RNA
Rfam family: Bacterial small subunit ribosomal RNA
Source: RNAcentral
CCUACGGGAGGCAGCAGUGGGGAAUAUUGGGCAAUGGAGGCAACUCUGACCCAGCAACGCCGCGUGAAUGAUGAAGGUCUUCGGAUUGUAAAGUUCUGUGAUGGGGGAUGAACACAAUGACGGUACCCCAAUAGCAAGCCACGGCUACCUACGUGCCAGCAGCCGCGGUACUACGUAGGUGGCAAGCGUUAUCCGGAGUGGCUGGGCGUAAAGGGUGCGUAGGUGGUUUAGUAAGUUGGCGGUGUAAUUCCGGGGUUCAACCUCGGAGCGACCGCCAAAACUAUUAGACGCGAGUGCAGGAGGGGUAAGUGGAAUUCCUAGUGUAGCGGUGGAAGGCGUAGAUAUUAGGAGGAACAUCAGGGGCGAAGGCGACUUACUGGAAUGUAACUGACACUGAGGCACGAAAGCGUGGGGAGCAAACAGGAUUAGAUACCCUGGUAGUC